RNAcentral lists this long non-coding RNA (530 nucleotides) under Phoenix dactylifera (date palm). Its description in RNAcentral is "long non-coding RNA (PDAC_LNC013637)". Lineage: Eukaryota; Viridiplantae; Streptophyta; Magnoliopsida; Arecales; Arecaceae. The record is from RNAcentral.
AAUUGGUGUCUAGGAAAGCAUGAAAGAUGGUUACUUAAUUAGGACCUUACUCUCUGAGUAAGGGAAGCCUCCCACCUGCUUACCUGGCCAAUUGUUCGAUUAUCUUUUAUGAAGAGCUCAAGUUGCAAACACUAAGACCUGAUUAACCAAUAUUAAGUCAAUAGGUCUUCCACUGUAGUAGAGCUGCUAAGGUCUUUCUGAUGUUGAUUUGUCUCGGCUGGAUACAGUGGGCAAGUUGCAUCGGGGGACUGGACCUCUCUAUAGACAUGAGAUGUUGUAGGGUAAAGGUGGGGUUGGGCACCAAUAACUGUUAGGUGAGGACCCAAUGACGACUUUAUUUCUACGGUUAUACGGUGGGUCUGACUUAACUAAGAAAUAGGACCAAUAACUGUUAGGUGAGGUCUUCAUGACUUAGAGACCAAGUAGCACUGCAACAUGCUUAAGAAACAUUGUACAAGAGUUGUACACUCAUCUGUUUAUGUGUCCCCAAUAACUGUUAGGUGAGGUGGCAUGUAAAUCGGUGGGACCGC